Molecule: RNA transcript, 2671 nt
Organism: Carya illinoinensis
Lineage: Eukaryota; Viridiplantae; Streptophyta; Magnoliopsida; Fagales; Juglandaceae
Gene name: sulfhydryl oxidase 2-like
Exons: 13
Source: RefSeq, a predicted model, not a curated record
UGACUCGAACUAUCCGUUCUCUUUGUAAUAAGUUAAACAGUUACGAACUACGGCAGAAGGGCAUCCACAUUUCUUUCCGUCAACGAUCGUACCCGUAACACCAUAAUCGACCAAUCCAUUCUCUAACCGAACUUCCCGAAGGAAGAAAAGGCGGCCAAAACCUCCGAAAACUCAAAACACUCAUCUCAAGAGCUCUUACCAAACAAAACCCUAGUGCUGGAAGGAGGUUCGUCGCAUCGGAUUUGGCUCUCUUUCUCUAUCAGUCGGGUCAAAUCCCAUGUCUCAGGUACUUUUGGUUCUGAAUCUUCUGAGCCUGCUUUCCUUGAGCUCCGGAGCUACCUCGUUGUCUCUAGGAUCCCGCUCGAUCCUUCGGGCGAUCGACAACGAGAACGGUGGUCCUCACGAUUACGCCGUUGAUUUGAACGCCUCGAAUUUCGAUUCGGUCAUCGGGGACACCCCUGCUACCUUUGCCGUCGUUGAGUUCUUUGCCCACUGGUGCCCAGCCUGCAGAAAUUAUAAGCCUCAUUAUGAAAAAGUUGCUAGGCUAUUUAAUGGACCUGAUGCAGUGCAUCCGGGAAUCAUAUUGAUGAGUAGGGUAGAUUGUGCACUGAAGAUAAACACUAAACUUUGUGAUAAGUUUUCUGUUGUUCAUUAUCCUAUGCUCUUUUGGGGUCCUCCUGCUAAAUUUGUAGCCGGAGGUUGGGAACCUAAACAAGAGAAAAGUGAAAUACGUCUCAUUGAUGAUGGACGGACAGCUGACCGACUGAUUAAUUGGAUAAACAAGCAAACAGACAGCUCUUUUGGUUUGGAUGAUGAGAAAUUUGAGAAUGAGCAUCUUUCAUCAAAUGUAUCAGACCCUGUGCAGAUUGCACGUGCUGUGUAUGAUGUCGAGGAGGUAACAUCAACAGCCUUUGAGAUUAUUUUAGAACACAAGAUGAUCAAAUCAGAAACCCGAGCUUCACUAAUAAAAUUUCUGCAACUUUUGGUGGCUCAUCAUCCUUCUAGGAGGUGCCGGAGGGGAAGUGCUGAUGUACUGGUGAACUUUGAUGAUUUGUGCCCAUUAGACAUGUGGUCACCUAGUAAGCAGGGAGAUAAUAAUGGAGAGGGCACACUGGGAAAUUUUCAGAUUUGUGGAAAAGGCGUACCUCGAGGAUAUUGGAUGUUCUGCCGAGGCAGCAAGAAUGAUACAAGGGGCUUCAGUUGUGGAUUGUGGGUUCUGCUGCAUUCACUGUCUGUGAGAAUUGAGGAUGGAGAGAGCCAAUUUGCAUUUACAGCUAUAUGUGAAUUUGUACACAACUUCUUUGUCUGUGAGGAAUGCCGCCAACAUUUUUAUGACAUGUGUUCAAGUGUCUCUAGUCCUUUCAAAACAAGCCGUGACUUCGCCCUUUGGUUGUGGAGUGCGCACAAUAAGGUUAAUGAGAGAUUAUUCAAAGAAGAAGCAUUUCUUGGGACUGGCGAUCCUAAAUUUCCUAAAAUGAUUUGGCCUCCAAAGCAGCUUUGCUCUUCCUGCCGUCUCUCUCAGAGCGAGAAAAAUAAUGGUAUUGAUUGGGACCAGGAGGAGGUGUUGAAAUUUUUGACUAAUUACUAUGGAAAAAUACUUGUAUCGCUACGCAAGGACAAGAAAAAUCUUGGGAAUGAUAGGUUUGAUGGGUUUCUUGAAGAUUUGGCGGUCUCAGCAAAUGCAGUUGCCGUGCCUCUGGGGGCUGCAUUGGCAAUUGCUGUCGCUAGCUGUGCAUUUGGGGCACUUGCAUGCUGCUGGCGUUCACAGCAGAAGAGUCGGAAGCCAAGGAGAAGCUGAAAUUAAGGUGUUAAGAGGACAAAAACAGACAGACUAUAAGGUGCACAGCCCGGGUGAAUUCAGUGUGUGAAUAGGGGGAAUCCUGAUCAAAGCCUUGUACAAAUGCCCUGCCUGAGAAAGUAUUCAGACGAUGAGCAGCAAGAGCAACAGAAGAGAGCACAUCUUAAUAGCUAGCUACAUCAUAAUUGAAACUUGAUCCUCCAUUUUUUUCUUUCCUUUUUGGAAUUACAGCACACCACACUGAUUAAAGCACUGCAUCAUAAUUUCCGUUUUUCUUAUCCAUCUUGCACACAUUUUCUUGUUGUGAAGCUUCUUCAAUUCACCAGCUACACGUGAAAAUGAAUGAUAUGAGGCUGAGGCUGCAGUGUUGAAGGCUCAGCUUCUUCAUCCGAUGAAGAUGAAAUUGAAGGCUCCUCCUAAUGAGGAAAUUGAAGUUGGUAGAUGUUUCAUAGUUAGUUGCAAUGAACUUUAAACAGUAAAAAAGGAAUCAGAAGAUCAUAUGGGAAUGAAUGUACCUGAUGAUGAUGUCGGCGGCGCUGAAUAGAAGUUACUGCUCUCAUUAUAAUGUAGAUCGGAAGAACAAUCCCAGCAGUUCUUAGAAGUAGCAACUACAUGCAAAGAAGGAAAGAUGAUUGUAAUAUCUGCAAGGGAAGUUCCACCUUUGUCUUCAUGAAAUGAAUUAGCAAGCCCUAAAUUCUCUUACCAGAGAUAGUGGGAAAAAGUACUCAUUGUUUCCACUUAGAAUGAGGGGAAGAGUAUGGCGUAGAAUCAGUAGAACCAUGAACUGCACCGGAGAAAAUGAAUGGGAUUGUAAGAGGCAUCGGUCAAGUUAAAAGGAAUAAAUAAAGAGGAUGUAUUACGACUUGAUCUAAA